UAGCUUUAGCAGCACAUAUACUAAAAUUGGAAAGAUACAGAAAAGAUGAGCAUGGCCCCUGCACAAGGAUGACACAUAAAUUUGUGAAGCAUUCCAUAUUUUU
RNAcentral lists this small nuclear RNA (103 nucleotides) under Ailuropoda melanoleuca (giant panda). The record is from RNAcentral. Lineage: Eukaryota; Metazoa; Chordata; Mammalia; Carnivora; Ursidae.